CUGUAAACGAUGUCGAUUUGGAGUUUGUUGCCUAGAGUGAUGGGCUCCGAAGCUAACGCGAUAAAUCGACCGCCUGGGGAGUACGGCCGCAAGGUUAAAACUCAAAUGAAUUGACGGGGGCCCGCACAAGCGGUGGAGCAUGUGGUUUAAUUCGAUGCAACGCGAAGAACCUUACCUGGUCUUGACAUCCAUAGAAUUCUGCAGAGAUGUGGGAGUGCCUUCGGGAACUAUGAGACAGGUGCUGCAUGGCUGUCGUCAGCUCGUGUUGUGAAAUGUUGGGUUAAGUCCCGCAACGAGCGCAACCCUUAUUCUUUGUUGCCAGCGAUUUGGUCGGGAACUCAAAGGAGACUGCCGUUGAUAAAGCGGAGGAAGGUGGGGACGACGUCAAGUCAUCAUGGCCCUUACGACCAGGGCUACACACGUGCUACAAUGGCGUAUACAAAGGGAAGCGAAGGUGCGAGCUGGAGCGGAUCUCAUAAAGUACGUCUAAGUUCGGAUUGGAGUCUGCAACUCGACUCCAUGAAGUCGGAAUCGCUAGUAAUCGUAGAUCAGAAUGCUACGGUGAAUACGUUCCCGGGCCUUGUACACACUGCCCGUCACACCAUGGGAGCGGGUUGCACCAGAAGUAGAUAGCUUAACCGCGAGGGGGGCGUUUACCACGGUGUGAUUCAUGACUGGGGUGAAGUCGUAACAAGGUAACCA
Molecule: ribosomal RNA, 702 nt
Filed under: uncultured Enterobacteriaceae bacterium
Lineage: Bacteria; Pseudomonadati; Pseudomonadota; Gammaproteobacteria; Enterobacterales; Enterobacteriaceae
Description: bacterial SSU rRNA
Rfam family: Bacterial small subunit ribosomal RNA
Source: RNAcentral